CAUACAAGCUGGGGGUGCCGGCACCGGGCCGGCUGAGAGAGUCCCCUCGAACCUGAUCCGGCUCGUACCGGCGGAGGGAAGCUUGCGAAAUCCGCA
RNAcentral lists this non-coding RNA (96 nucleotides) under Thioalkalivibrio nitratireducens. RNAcentral describes it as "TPP sequence". It matches the Rfam family "TPP riboswitch aptamer (THI element)". Rfam says of the family: Vitamin B(1) in its active form thiamin pyrophosphate (TPP) is an essential coenzyme that is synthesised by coupling of pyrimidine and thiazole moieties in bacteria. The previously detected thiamin-regulatory element, thi box was extended, resulting in a new, highly conserved RNA secondary structure, the THI element, which is widely distributed in eubacteria and also occurs in some archaea. The record is from RNAcentral. Lineage: Bacteria; Pseudomonadati; Pseudomonadota; Gammaproteobacteria; Chromatiales; Ectothiorhodospiraceae.